This 1372-nucleotide ribosomal RNA is filed under the name uncultured bacterium. Its description in RNAcentral is "bacterial SSU rRNA". It matches the Rfam family "Bacterial small subunit ribosomal RNA", at positions 28 to 1381 of the family's 1533-position model. The record is from RNAcentral.
GAUGAACGUUGGCGGCGUGCCUAAUACAUGCAAGUCGAGCGAACAGACAAGGAGCUUGCUCCUUUGACGUUAGCGGCGGACGGGUGAGUAACACGUGGGUAACCUACCUAUAAGACUGGGAUAACUUCGGGAAACCGGAGCUAAUACCGGAUAAUAUUUCGAACCGCAUGGUUCGAUAGUGAAAGAUGGUUUUGCUAUCACUUAUAGAUGGACCCGCGCCGUAUUAGCUAGUUGGUAAGGUAACGGCUUACCAAGGCGACGAUACGUAGCCGACCUGAGAGGGUGAUCGGCCACACUGGAACUGAGACACGGUCCAGACUCCUACGGGAGGCAGCAGUAGGGAAUCUUCCGCAAUGGGCGAAAGCCUGGCGGAGCAACGCCGCGUGAGUGAUGAAGGUCUUCGGAUCGUAAAACUCUGUUAUUAGGGAAGAACAUACGUGUAAGUAACUAUGCACGUCUUGACGGUACCUAAUCAGAAAGCCACGGCUAACUACGUGCCAGCAGCCGCGGUAAUACGUAGGUGGCAAGCGUUAUCCGGAAUUAUUGGGCGUAAAGCGCGCGUAGGCGGUUUUUUAAGUCUGAUGUGAAAGCCCACGGCUCAACCGUGGAGGGUCAUUGGAAACUGGAAAACUUGAGUGCAGAAGAGGAAAGUGGAAUUCCAUGUGUAGCGGUGAAAUGCGCAGAGAUAUGGAGGAACACCAGUGGCGAAGGCGACUUUCUGGUCUGUAACUGACGCUGAUGUGCGAAAGCGUGGGGAUCAAACAGGAUUAGAUACCCUGGUAGUCCACGCCGUAAACGAUGAGUGCUAAGUGUUAGGGGGUUUCCGCCCCUUAGUGCUGCAGCUAACGCAUUAAGCACUCCGCCUGGGGAGUACGACCGCAAGGUUGAAACUCAAAGGAAUUGACGGGGACCCGCACAAGCGGUGGAGCAUGUGGUUUAAUUCGAAGCAACGCGAAGAACCUUACCAAAUCUUGACAUCCUUUGACAACUCUAGAGAUAGAGCCUUCCCCUUCGGGGGACAAAGUGACAGGUGGUGCAUGGUUGUCGUCAGCUCGUGUCGUGAGAUGUUGGGUUAAGUCCCGCAACGAGCGCAACCCUUAAGCUUAGUUGCCAUCAUUAAGUUGGGCACUCUAAGUUGACUGCCGGUGACAAACCGGAGGAAGGUGGGGAUGACGUCAAAUCAUCAUGCCCCUUAUGAUUUGGGCUACACACGUGCUACAAUGGACAAUACAAAGGGCAGCGAAAUCGCGAGGUCAAGCAAAUCCCAUAAAGUUGUUCUCAGUUCGGAUUGUAGUCUGCAACUCGACUACAUGAAGCUGGAAUCGCUAGUAAUCGUAGAUCAGCAUGCUACGGUGAAUACGUUCCCGGGUCU